This 925-nucleotide ribosomal RNA is filed under the name uncultured bacterium. Its description in RNAcentral is "bacterial SSU rRNA". It matches the Rfam family "Bacterial small subunit ribosomal RNA", at positions 1 to 924 of the family's 1533-position model. The record is from RNAcentral.
GCCCUUAGAGUUUGAUCCUGGCUCAGAUUGAACGCUGGCGGCAUGCCUAACACAUGCAAGUCGAACGGUAACAGGUCUUCGGAUGCUGACGAGUGGCGGACGGGUGAGUAAAGCGUAUGAAUCUGUCUUUUAGUGGGGGACAACCCAGGGAAACUUGGGCUAAUACCGCAUUAGCCCUGAGGGGGAAAGCGGGGGAUCUUCGGACCUCGCGCUGAAAGAGGAGCCUGCGUCCGAUUAGCUAGUUGGCGGGGUAAAGGCCCACCAAGGCGACGAUCGGUAGCUGGUCUGAGAGGACGACCAGCCACACUGGGACUGAGACACGGUCCAGACUCCUACGGGAGGCAGCAGUGGGGAAUUUUUCGCAAUGGGCGCAAGCCUGACGAAGCAAUGCCGCGUGGAUGAAGAAGGCCUUCGGGUUGUAAAGUCCUUUCGUGGGGGACGAAAAGGUGGGUCCUAAUACGGUCUGCUGUUGACGUGAACCCAAGAAGAAGCACCGGCUAACUCCGUGCCAGCAGCCGCGGUAAUACGGAGGGUGCAAGCGUUAAUUGGAAUUACUGGGCGUAAAGGGCGCGUAGGCGGUUGGUUAGGUCUGCCGUGAAAUCCCCGGGCUCAACCUGGGAAUGGCGGUGGAAACCGGUUGACUAGAGUAUGGGAGAGGGUGAUGGAAUUCCAGGUGUAGCGGUGAAAUGCGUAGAGAUCUGGAGGAACAUCAGUGGCAAAGGCGGUCACCUGGCCCAAUACUGACGCUGAGGCGCGAAAGCGUGGGGAGCAAACAGGAUUAGAUACCCUGGUAGUCCACGCCCUACACGAUGAAUACUAGAUGUUUGGUGCUUAACGUGCUGAGUGUCGUAGCUAACGCGAUAAGUAUUCCGCCUGGGAAGUACGGCCGCAAGGUUAAAACUCAAAUGAAUUGACGGGGAAGGGC